Molecule: ribosomal RNA, 513 nt
Filed under: uncultured bacterium
Lineage: Bacteria
Description: partial 16S ribosomal RNA
Rfam family: Bacterial small subunit ribosomal RNA
Source: RNAcentral
GACGAACGCUGGCGGCAUGCCUAAUACAUGCAAGUCGAGCGAACAGAUGAAGUGCUUGCACUUCUGACGUUAGCGGCGAACGGGUGAGUAACACGUAAGGAAUCUACCUAUAAGCGGGGGAUAACAUUCGGAAACGGGUGCUAAUACCGCAUAAUAUCUUCUUCCGCAUGGAAGAAGAUUGAAAGACGGCUCUGCUGGCACUUAUAUAUGACCUUGCGGUACAUUAGUUAGUUGGUGGGGUAACGGCAUACCAAGACGAUGAUGCAUAGUCGACCUGAGGGGGUGAUCGGCCACAUUGGGACUGAGACACGGCCCAAACUCCUACGGGAGGCAGCAGUAGGGAAUCUUCCGCAAUGGGCGAAAGCCUGACGGAGCAAUGCCGCGUGAGUGAAGAAGGCCUUCGGGUCGUAAAACUCUGUUAUAAGAGAAGAACAAAUUGUAGAGUAACUGCUACAGUCUUGACGGUAUCUUAUCAGAAAGCCACGGCUAACUACGUGCCAGCCGCCGCAGUAA